RNAcentral lists this small nuclear RNA (106 nucleotides) under Castor canadensis (American beaver). The record is from RNAcentral. Lineage: Eukaryota; Metazoa; Chordata; Mammalia; Rodentia; Castoridae.
AUAUUCACUUAUGCAGCACAUACAUUGGAAAUGGAAUGGUACAGAGAAGACUAACAUGGCCAUGUGCAAGGAUGACAUGCAAAUUCCUGAAGGAUUACAUAUUUUC